AGUGAACGCUGGCGGUAGGCCUAACACAUGCAAGUCGAACGGCAGCACAGUAAGAGCUCGCUCUUACGGGUGGCGAGUGGCGGACGGGUGAGGAAUACAUCGCAAACUACUUUUUCGUGGGUGAUAACGUAGGGAAACUUACGCUAAUACCGCAUACGUCCUACGGGUGAAAGCAGGGGAUCUUCGGACCUUGCGCGAUUGAAUGAGCUGAUGUCGGAUUAGCUAGUUGGCGGGGUAAAGGCCCACCAAGGCGACGAUCCGUAGCUGGUCUGAGAGGAUGAUCAGCCACACUGGAACUGAGACACGGUCCAGACUCCUACGGGAGGCAGCAGUGGGGAAUAUUGGACAAUGGGCGCAAGCCUGAUCCAGCCAUACCGCGUGGGUGAAGAAGGCCUUCGGGUUGUAAAGCCCUUUUGUUGGGAAAGAAAAGCAGCAGGUUAAUACCCCGCUGUUCUGACGGUACCCAAAGAAUAAGCACCGGCUAACUUCGUG
Molecule: ribosomal RNA, 492 nt
Filed under: uncultured bacterium
Lineage: Bacteria
Description: partial 16S ribosomal RNA
Rfam family: Bacterial small subunit ribosomal RNA
Source: RNAcentral